CUUCUCUCCCAGAAUUAUUCUCUCUUUUGGUCUCACAGGAAAAAAAGCUGUCUUGUUCCACAUCCAUGCAAGUUUUUUGUUCGUAAUUCAUGUCAGGAGGCAUUUUUCUAUUUGGACACUAAUAUGUCUUGCAGGUUCAAAGUACAUAGUCUGUCAGAUACAUGUCAUGUCAGGAGCCUCAAGAAAGUGGUCUUAAUCUGUGCAGACUUUAGAAGGGUAACAAAUUGGUGAGAAGAUGAGGACUGACAUAUUGUUUUGGAAAGGCAUGAAAAUGUGUGGGUAUGAUGCAGCCAUAUGUGAGAGAAGGAAAUGGGACGCAAUCAAAGGAUUAGGAGAAAUGAAGCAGGCAUUUUUAAGGAAGAGGAGAGAAUUUGUG
This 376-nucleotide long non-coding RNA is filed under the name Numida meleagris (helmeted guineafowl). RNAcentral's name for it is "lncRNA (ENSNMEG00000000626.1)". Lineage: Eukaryota; Metazoa; Chordata; Aves; Galliformes; Numididae. The record is from RNAcentral.